Non-coding RNA from Xyrichtys novacula (pearly razorfish), 1258 nucleotides. The record is from the annotation of a GenBank genome assembly. Lineage: Eukaryota; Metazoa; Chordata; Actinopteri; Labriformes; Labridae.
CGAAACGACUUCCAAUUAUCAAUGCAGCCCACGCCGUUUUGCGGACACCACCUCGACAGCCAGCGGUUGAAUGACAAGAUACGGCGACACAUCUCAUCAGUUGUCUGAUCGGGCAGAAGACCAGAGAAAACUACUGAGUCUGACAUGGUUUUGGCGAAUUUACACACUGUUCCAAAAACUCAGAACCAGGUCCUCGAGUUAACUUCAUAUCCUCCUCUAGAAAUGAGUGAAAGCCACAUCUCUUCUGAUUUUCACUUAUAGACCAUUUAAGGAGAGAAAAUCCCGCUAACCAACUCUAGAAACUCCACAUGUGUGUCACUGAUUUCAUGCCAGCGGGAAAAUAGUUUUAGAUUCUUGUCGGUGUUUCAUCUCCUGAAGGGCGGGAAGGGUCCCAAACGGCAGUAACACCACUGAGACUCCUAAAAUAUGCGUCCAUAUUUAAAGACGCCUUUUUAUAAACGGGAAAAUCUUAUCAGCAAACACUAACGCAGUUUAAUGGAUGUAAUUCAAAGUCUUUCUCACGCCUCUCCACACCAUUUAAACUUCUAAAUAAUCGUUUUAGAGGCAGACUCAUGUAUGAGAACUGUUUUUUUUUUUUUUAAGUGAAGUGGGGCUUCUUAAGAAGGAGCUGUAAAAUACUCCAGAACUAAUCUUCUGUAGUAAACACACAAACAAGCGCUGAACUGCUCUCUGCUCCAUUUGCAAACAUAUCUGGCUCCCAUAUGUUCGCUCUGCUGCUGUUCUCAUGGAAAACUGCUCCCUCAAGUAUUUCACCCGGUCACGUUCCCUGUGCCAGCUCUACAGACGGCAAACAGUUACAGGAAAAAGUUUUAUUUCUACUUUUUUAGUUUGAAAAGGACAAAAACGUGUUAAAAAUAUGAGCGCAAGUGGAGAAAACAUCCAAAUGUAGACGGAGAAGAGGCGUUUUAGAGUUGGAUUUUACAUGAUUUACACAAAUCUUAACAUCAUUAGACUUGUUCUGCCUUCUCACACUCUCUCACACACUCUCACACACGUGCACGGACCAUUACAAAUCGAGCUCAGGGGUUUUCUCUGCAGCGUCAGUCCCUCAGCUCUCCCCCAUGAGCCCCUCCUCUCUUUUUUUUUUUCACCCGACAAACAACAAGUGCGUGCUGUUCUGCUCUGUUCUGGCGGCUAUAUUUAAACUCCUCUGUUGACUGGUCCAACCCUCCACACACCCACUUCCAGCAGCUCGAACCCCACACCCCACCCUCCCCUCCCUUACACCCCGACUCAC